CCUACCCCUAGUGGCAUUGUAGGUAUGGCUGGUGUGCAUCAGUAGGUGGCAGAGAAGAGAGGCUAUGCCUGUGCUUAGUGUUCUGAUCCAUGAACAUCUGAAUGACUAGUAUCCUAAUAGU
This 121-nucleotide small nucleolar RNA is filed under the name Mus spretus (western wild mouse). RNAcentral's name for it is "predicted gene, 22371 (ENSMSPG00010027450.1)". It matches the Rfam family "Small nucleolar RNA SNORA17". From Rfam's summary of the family: snoRNA ACA 17 belongs to the H/ACA family of snoRNAs and is predicted to guide pseudouridylation of the 28S rRNA at positions U4659 and U4598. It shares the same host gene together with ACA43. NB This family has a high threshold value to exclude a large number of closely related sequences that do not appear to have conserved H and ACA boxes, and may be pseudogenes. The record is from RNAcentral. Lineage: Eukaryota; Metazoa; Chordata; Mammalia; Rodentia; Muridae.